This 460-nucleotide ribosomal RNA is filed under the name uncultured bacterium. RNAcentral's name for it is "partial 16S ribosomal RNA". It matches the Rfam family "Bacterial small subunit ribosomal RNA", at positions 338 to 795 of the family's 1533-position model. The record is from RNAcentral.
CCUACGGGAGGCAGCAGUGAGGAAUAUUGGUCAAUGGGCGCGAGCCUGAACCAGCCACGCAGCGUGAAGGAUGACUGCCCUACGGGUUGUAAACUCCUUUCAUAAAGGAAUAAAGUUAGGCACGUGUGCCUUUUUGUAUGUACUUUAUGAAUUAGGAUCGGCUAACUCCGUGCCAGCAGCCGCGGUAAUAUGGAGGAUCCCAGCGUUAUCCGGAUUUAUUGGGUUUAAAGGGAGCGUAGAUGGGUUGGUAAGUCAGUUGUGAAAGUUUGCGGCUCAACCGUAAAAUUGCAAUUGAUACUGGCAGUCUUGAGUACAGUUGAGGUAGGCGGAAUUCGUGGUGUAGCGGUGAAAUGCUUAGAUAUCACGAGGAACUCCGAUUGCGAAGGCAGCUUACUAAACUGCCACUGACAUUGAUGCUCGAAAGUGUGGGUAGCAAACAGGAUUAGAUACCCUUGUAGUC